GACGAACGCUGGCGGCGUGCCUAAUACAUGCAAGUAGAACGCACAGUUUAUACCGUAGCUUGCUACACCAUAGACUGUGAGUUGCGAACUGGUGAGUAACGCGUAGGUAACCUGCCUGGUAGCGGGGGAUAACUAUUGGAAACGAUAGCUAAUACCGCAUAAUAUUAAUUAUUGCAUGAUAAUUAAUUGAAAGGUGCAAUUGCACCACUACCAGCUGGACCUGCGUUGUAUUAGCUAGUAGGUGAGGUAACGGCUCACCUAGGCGACGAUACAUAGCCGACCUGAGGUGGUGAUCGGCCACACUGGGACUGGGACACGGCCCAGACUCCUACGGGAGGCAGCAGUAGGGAAUCUUCGGCAAUGGACGAAAGUCUGACCGAGCAACGCCGCGUGAGUGAAGAAGGUUUUCGGAUCGUAAAGCUCUGUUGUAAGAGAAGAACGGGUGUGAGAGUGGAAAGUUCACACUGUGACGGUAUCUUACCAGAAAGGGACGGCUAACUACGUG
Molecule: ribosomal RNA, 505 nt
Filed under: uncultured bacterium
Lineage: Bacteria
Description: partial 16S ribosomal RNA
Rfam family: Bacterial small subunit ribosomal RNA
Source: RNAcentral